Molecule: unclassified non-coding RNA, 625 nt
Filed under: Stemphylium sp. 4 DT-2021
Lineage: Eukaryota; Fungi; Ascomycota; Dothideomycetes; Pleosporales; Pleosporaceae
Also listed under: 1 other name
Description: sequence contains 28S rRNA gene
Rfam family: Eukaryotic large subunit ribosomal RNA
Source: RNAcentral
GGGAAUGCAGCUCUAAAUGGGAGGUAAAUUUCUUCUAAAGCUAAAUAUUGGCCAGAGACCGAUAGCGCACAAGUAGAGUGAUCGAAAGAUGAAAAGCACUUUGGAAAGAGAGUCAAACAGCACGUGAAAUUGUUGAAAGGGAAGCGCUUGCAGCCAGACUUGCUUGCAGUUGCUCAUCCGGGCUUUUGCCCGGUGCACUCUUCUGUAGGCAGGCCAGCAUCAGUUUGGGCGGUGGGAUAAAGGUCUCUGUCACGUACCUCUCUUCGGGGAGGCCUUAUAGGGGAGACGACAUACCACCAGCCUAGACUGAGGUCCGCGCAUUUUGCUAGGAUGCUGGCGUAAUGGCUGUAAGCGGCCCGUCUUGAAACACGGACCAAGGAGUCUAACAUCUAUGCGAGUGUUUGGGUGUCAAGCCCGAGCGCGUAAUGAAAGUGAACGGAGGUGGGAACCCGCAAGGGUGCACCAUCGACCGAUCCUGAAGUUUACGGAAGGAUUUGAGUAAGAGCAUGGCUGUUGGGACCCGAAAGAUGGUGAACUAUGCUUGAAUAGGGUGAAGCCAGAGGAAACUCUGGUGGAGGCUCGCAGCGGUUCUGACGUGCAAAUCGAUCGUCAAAUUUGGGCAUAG